Molecule: ribosomal RNA, 253 nt
Filed under: uncultured bacterium
Lineage: Bacteria
Description: partial 16S ribosomal RNA
Rfam family: Bacterial small subunit ribosomal RNA
Source: RNAcentral
UACGUAUGGGGCAAGCGUUAUCCGGAUUUACUGGGUGUAAAGGGAGCGUAGGCGGCCUGGCAAGCCUGAUGUGAAAUACCGGGGCCCAACCCCGGGGCUGCAUUGGGAACUGCCAGGCUGGAGUGCCGGAGAGGCAGGCGGAAUUCCUAGUGUAGCGGUGAAAUGCGUAGAUGUUAGGAGGAACACCAGUGGCGAAGGCGGCCUGCUGGACGGUGACUGACGCUGAGGCUCGAAAGCGUGGGGAGCAAACAGG